RNAcentral lists this unclassified non-coding RNA (2301 nucleotides) under Leishmania donovani. RNAcentral describes it as "gene:LdHU3.36.9560(CDS-product:calphotin-like_pro tein)". Lineage: Eukaryota; Euglenozoa; Kinetoplastea; Trypanosomatida; Trypanosomatidae. The record is from RNAcentral.
CGUGAUUCAACCCAUCUGUGUGGCCGCGGCGGCGCCCUUGCAGUAGCAGAACGUUUUUGCGUUCGAUUUUUUUCGACCGACAUGUUUCCAGGCAACAGCACCGCCGGCGUUCCAAUACCUGUGCCAGUGCCGUCGCGACCAGCCCUGGUUGCAGCGGGCCCUUCACUUUCUGUCGCGCCGCCUCGAUCAACGCCGGCCGCGGUCCCGAUCCCCGUUGCUGUUCCCUCUACUGCGCCGGCCACGCUGAGUCCGGCGCCACCAUACGCCCCCGUGGCACAACCUGUCGUUCCUCUCCCCAUCGCCGCCGGUAGCUCUGCAGCCCCGCAGCCGACAGACGCGUCGUUUGCGCCGGCUUUCGCUGUGAGCAUCUCACCUCUGCCGAACACAUCAUCUGCACAGUACGUAGCGCCGGCGGUGAUCCCUCUCGCCUCGGCUUCCUCCUCCGCUGGCGCCUCCCCCUCCCCUCUUCCUGUGCCUCAAAUAUGCCUCUCAUCGUCUGCAGUGCCAGUGGAAGCUACUCGAGCUCCGCCUGCCGUACGACCAGCUCCUUCUAAUCCGCCGUUGCUGCCACAGCCGCGGCUCUCCGGGUCCGAACCCACCCAGCCGGCAAUGCCAGUGCCGACAGCAAGCGCCACAUCGUAUCCGAAACCAUCGCCUGACGCUCCACCAGCGGUAGCGCCUCUUCCUUCGACUCUGAUGUCGUCUGUGCCCUCGCCCGUGGCGCCUGCCAGCCCCGCUGUUGCCAAGAAGGUCACGUUUGCGCUCUCCGGAGGGGCGACGGAGGCUGUUGCGCCAUCACCGCCUGCCGUGCCCAUGUUAGUUCCUAGUGUGCCAGUGGUAUUACCACCCACUGCGGUGCCGCUUGUUGCUCCGUCGGUUCCUGCGUUGCCGUCGCCAGACCUCCCUCUCCUCCGUGCGACAGAGGAGGAGCCACCGAAGGCGGUGGUGCCAGUUGACGAGGCCGCACCCAAGAUGGAACAUGCGGCUUAUCAACGUGUGCCGGACUACAUGAAGUGGCUGUACCCUGCGUUGCUGGAGGGCUCAUCUGCGUGCUCGCCACCACUGGAGUUUCCUUUGGCUGAAGCAACGGCGCCGCACGUUCUCUCCUCUGCCGCGGUGCUGCGCUGGUCGGAGGCGGAGGUGCUUGCGGCUCUGCCGACCACGCUGCCCCCGGAGUACGUAGUUUUUGGCGGAGCGAGGUACAGCGGCGCGUCUCUCAACCUCGUGCGCCCGCCACUCACCGUCACUAGAGGCGCGAAGCGCACGACGCACUUGCACGACGCGAUGGAGGUCCAACGACUUCAGUUUCUCGUCGAUCAACUCGAGGUGGCGAGGCACUACUUGAAGAUUGAGGCGCGGUGCGUAACCAAGGAGCAGCGGUCGUCAUCCUCCCUGACGACGGCAGGCUGCGCCGCGGUGCCCACCGACACCGUGAGUGAUGCCAUUCACAAGCCCGAGGGGGCCGAGGAUGUGACGAAGGCGAAUAUCUGGACUGCCGCGUACUUCGGGUCUCCUCAGCAGCUUGGUUCGGUGAUGGAGAAGCGCAAGUUUGACGGAAUACUAGACAGCGCCGGCUACGUGCACUAUAAACGGCGCCAGUGGGGCUUGAAGCGAGUAGGCGACACGUUUGUGCUCGGGCUUGGAUCGAGAGGCACCCCACUGCAGUUUGCGGCAGCAGCGGGUAAGUUGGACAGCGUUGUACUCCUUCUCGCGAGCGGGGCACGGGAUACAACGUUUCCGCGGCUGAAGGAGAUUCUGUCAGCUGACUCCAUGCAGGUCAUUGAGUCCGUGUUCAAACCCCGUAGCCAUGCGCCACGACAAAACCAUGCACCGACAGCGGAGGCGGCGUUCACGAGCGAAGCAGCGCUGCCCGUCACGACACCCGCUUUUACAAGCGAGCACGUAGUUCGGAUCGAUGAGUGUGGUCGGUCGCCCCUGGUACAGAUAGGUGAUGCUACCACGGCAGCGAUGGCGACGUUCGCAUAGCCGACCAGUAGUCGUUUUGAGGAAGACGGAAAGGGUAAGAAGGCUGGGGUGGGGGCAGGCUUGCAUCGAGCAAGUACAGCCGAAACACCUUCCCCCUCCCCUCUCGAACAACUGCCGUGGCGCUGUUGGUGAGGCCUGUGCCCAACCGGCCGCACUGCUCUGUCGUAUCUUCUGAUGCGACACGCCGUGCAUGCCACUGGUGAUCGCUACUUCUCUUUGGUGCGCCCACGCCGCUGUACUUUUUUGUGCGCUUCUUCUGUUCUCGUAGAUGUUUCUUUGGACCAGAGAAUCCACGCUGUCCACGAAGGACGACGG